Molecule: ribosomal RNA, 250 nt
Filed under: uncultured bacterium
Lineage: Bacteria
Description: partial 16S ribosomal RNA
Rfam family: Bacterial small subunit ribosomal RNA
Source: RNAcentral
UACGUAGGUCCCGAGCGUUGUCCGGAUUUAUUGGGCGUAAAGCGAGCGCAGGCGGUUAGAUAAGUCUGAAGUUAAAGGCUGUGGCUUAACCAUAGUACGCUUUGGAAACUGUUUAACUUGAGUGCAAGAGGGGAGAGUGGAAUUCCAUGUGUAGCGGUGAAAUGCGUAGAUAUAUGGAGGAACACCGGUGGCGAAAGCGGCUCUCUGGCUUGUAACUGACGCUGAGGCUCGAAAGCGUGGGGANCAAACA